GACUCUGUAGUUCAGUUGGUAGAACGGUGGACUGUUAAUCCAUAUGUCGCAGGUUCGAGUCCUGCCAGAGUCGCCA
Molecule: transfer RNA, 76 nt
Filed under: Erwinia phage vB_EamM_Huxley
Lineage: Duplodnaviria; Heunggongvirae; Uroviricota; Caudoviricetes; Chimalliviridae
Also listed under: 2 other names
Description: tRNA-Asn
Rfam family: tRNA
About the family: Transfer RNA (tRNA) molecules are approximately 80 nucleotides in length. Their secondary structure includes four short double-helical elements and three loops (D, anti-codon, and T loops).
Source: RNAcentral